Peromyscus maniculatus bairdii (prairie deer mouse) is the source of this 856-nucleotide long non-coding RNA. RefSeq lists it as uncharacterized. The record is from RefSeq and is a predicted model, not a curated record. NCBI's taxonomy places the organism in Eukaryota, Metazoa, Chordata, Mammalia, Rodentia, Cricetidae.
AGAUGUGCCACCUCUCUUGGUUCCUGGACCCUGGACCUGCAGGUUUUCAAGUAUUUGAUCUCCACUAGUGGGAGCACACUGACUCUGGACUGGCAGCUGGGGAACUUUCAUAGGACCAAACUAGGUCCUCUGAAUGAGGAUGACAGUUGUGUGGCUUGGACAGUCUGUGGCUCCACUGGCAUUGGUACCAGGAUUUAUCCCUAGUGCAACAACUGGCUUUUUGGAACCCAUUCCCUAAGGAGGGACAACUUGCUAAGCCUCCAUACAGGGAAGACAAUCAACAUAAAAAUACACUAAGAUGGACAUUGUCAUCAUCAGAAUCAACAACAGAUUCAAGUCCUAUACUGAUAAGCAAGAAUGGGUCUCCUUGGAUGUGGAAAGAAGAAACCAAAAGGAAAUCAAAUACAAAGGGAAAAAGAAGAAAGCAGAGUGUCAUAAAGCUCUGGUUGCCCUCUCCACGAUGAACUUCCCAUUGAUGGUGCUCCUGCAGUACACUCUUGAAGAAUUUCAAUGCCUUCUGCAACCCCACAUGAAAAGAACACAGCGCUGAGGUCAGAAUCUGAGUUCAGGAUCUGCCCUUUGCUGAUGAUGUGGCAUUUGAAGAAGGAUCAGUCUGUCUAGUUUCCUUCCUGGGAAAAUACAAUGCUCCCAAGAACUCCACUUCCUUCCUGAUGCCUAAAAAGUCUGCCAUUCAACCAUAUACUGAGAAACACAAUGAAAUAAUGCAGUACAUUGAAAAACCAAAAGCAUUUACAUCAGUAAUUUUUUUAAUAAAAUAGUCUCAGACUUGACAUUUUGACUUAAAUUUUUCAUUUGAGAAAACAACCACUGUCACUGAUAUUUAAUCAGUAUAUAU